GACGAACGCUGGCGGCGUGCUUAACACAUGCAAGUCGAACGGAAAGGCUCCAGCUUGCUGGGGUACUCGAGUGGCGAACGGGUGAGUAACACGUGGGUAAUCUGCCCUGCACUCUGGGAUAAGCCUGGGAAACUGGGUCUAAUACUGGAUAUGACCUUUCUCCUUAUGGGGUUUGGUGGAAAGUUUUUCGGUGUAGGGUGAGCCCGCGGCCUAUCAGCUUGUUGGUGGGGUGAUGGCCUACCAAGGCGACGACGGGUAGCCGGCCUGAGAGGGUGAUCGGCCACAUUGGGACUGAGAUACGGCCCAGACUCCUACGGGAGGCAGCAGUGGGGAAUAUUGCACAAUGGGCGGAAGCCUGAUGCAGCGACGCCGCGUGAGGGAUGACGGCCUUCGGGUUGUAAACCUCUUUCAGCAGGGACGAAGCGUAAGUGACGGUACCUGCAGAAGAAGCACCGGCUAACUAUGUG
This 467-nucleotide ribosomal RNA is filed under the name uncultured bacterium. Its description in RNAcentral is "partial 16S ribosomal RNA". It matches the Rfam family "Bacterial small subunit ribosomal RNA", at positions 28 to 507 of the family's 1533-position model. The record is from RNAcentral.